AAAAUGUUGAAAAUAAGGACUCACUUUAGUAAGCUAUUUCUGCAAAAGUAUCUAAGUUGAUUCUUGCUAAAGCCUCUCCUUGAUUCCUAUUUAUCCAGCAUACCCUUGAGAGUCUUUUCUUUAGUCGGGUAAGUCUUGCUGAGUAAUUCCAUACUCAGGGCUUUAUUCCCUGUUGUUUUUCAGGAUAUAACUUUGUGCUGCUGUGAUCGUGUUAAGUGCCGGUGGGCUCGGCCUUCUUAUAUAAGUAUACCCCGUCUUUAUCUUCUUAUUGAGGAUGGUCACUUGAGCUAACAUAUAUUUCAAACUUAUACUUUUGUAAUCACUCCGAUAAACUAAUGUGAAAUUUUUGUAACCUGUAAAAUUUGGUAGUAAGAUUUCCGCUGCAACAAUAUUGGUGUGUGUGAUUUGUGUUACUUAAUCCCGCGGUUCUGGUUGUAAGUGGUUUAUCUGAGGUCCUUGGGGCACUCGGACGGAUCCUGUUAAGUUAUUUGGUGCACAUGCAUAGCCGUCUGAGGUCUUUGAGACAAAGACAGGUGCAUGUGGGCCCAAUAACUUGGGAGGUUCUGCCACAGCUGGUAUCGGAGCAGGAUUAAGUAAAU
Molecule: long non-coding RNA, 599 nt
Filed under: Zea mays
Lineage: Eukaryota; Viridiplantae; Streptophyta; Magnoliopsida; Poales; Poaceae
Description: drought responsive lncRNA
Source: RNAcentral